RNAcentral lists this ribosomal RNA (214 nucleotides) under Nocardia rhamnosiphila. RNAcentral's name for it is "partial 16S ribosomal RNA". It matches the Rfam family "Bacterial small subunit ribosomal RNA", at positions 1322 to 1533 of the family's 1533-position model. The record is from RNAcentral. Lineage: Bacteria; Bacillati; Actinomycetota; Actinomycetes; Mycobacteriales; Nocardiaceae.
GAAGUUGGAGUCGCUAGUAAUCGCAGAUCAGCAACGCUGCGGUGAAUACGUUCCCGGGCCUUGUACACACCGCCCGUCACGUCAUGAAAGUCGGUAACACCCGAAGCCGGUGGCCUAACCCUUGUGGAGGGAGCCGUCGAAGGUGGGAUCGGCGAUUGGGACGAAGUCGUAACAAGGUAGCCGCACCGGAAGGUGCGGCUGGAUCACCUCCUUU